RNAcentral lists this ribosomal RNA (700 nucleotides) under uncultured bacterium. RNAcentral's name for it is "bacterial SSU rRNA". It matches the Rfam family "Bacterial small subunit ribosomal RNA", at positions 42 to 789 of the family's 1533-position model. The record is from RNAcentral.
UCAGGCCUAACACAUGCAAGUCGAGCGCGCCUUCGGGUGAGCGGCGGACGGGUUAGUAACGCGUGGGAACGUGCCCUUCUCUACGGAAUAGCCUCUGGAAACGGAGAGUAAUACCGUAUACGCCCUUUGGGGGAAAGAUUUAUCGGAGAAGGAUCGGCCCGCGUUAGAUUAGGUAGUUGGUGGGGUAACGGCCUACCAAGCCUACGAUCUAUAGCUGGUUUUAGAGGAUGAUCAGCAACACUGGGACUGAGACACGGCCCAGACUCCUACGGGAGGCAGCAGUGGGGAAUCUUAGACAAUGGGGGCAACCCUGAUCUAGCCAUGCCGCGUGAGUGAUGAAGGCCUUAGGGUCGUAAAGCUCUUUCGCCUGUGAUGAUAAUGACAGUAGCAGGUAAAGAAACCCCGGCUAACUCCGUGCCAGCAGCCGCGGUAAUACGGAGGGGGUUAGCGUUGUUCGGAAUUACUGGGCGUAAAGCGCGCGUAGGCGGAUUAGAAAGUUGGGGGUGAAAUCCCGGGGCUCAACCUCGGAACUGCCUCCAAAACUACUAGUCUAGAGUUCGAGAGAGGUGAGUGGAAUUCCGAGUGUAGAGGUGAAAUUCGUAGAUAUUCGGAGGAACACCAGUGGCGAAGGCGGCUCACUGGCUCGAUACUGACGCUGAGGUGCGAAAGUGUGGGGGAGCAAACAGGAUUAGAUACCCUG